GGCAUGGGCGGAAAGCGUGGAACCAGCCAUGCCGCGGUGCAGGGAAGACGGCUUUCUGAGUUGUAAACUGCUUUUGUACGGAAGAAAAAAGCCAUGCGUGGCGAAUUGCCGGUACCGUACGAAUAAGCACCGGCUAACUCCGUGCCAGCAGCCGCGGUAAUACGAAUUUUA
Molecule: ribosomal RNA, 171 nt
Filed under: uncultured Flexibacteraceae bacterium
Lineage: Bacteria; Pseudomonadati; Bacteroidota; Cytophagia; Cytophagales; Cytophagaceae
Description: partial 16S ribosomal RNA
Rfam family: Bacterial small subunit ribosomal RNA
Source: RNAcentral